RNAcentral lists this ribosomal RNA (1400 nucleotides) under uncultured bacterium. Its description in RNAcentral is "bacterial SSU rRNA". It matches the Rfam family "Bacterial small subunit ribosomal RNA". The record is from RNAcentral.
UUAGAGUUUGAUCCUGGCUCAGGAUGAACGCUAGCGGCAGGCUUAACACAUGCAAGUCGAGGGGCAGCGAGAUCAGUGCUUGCACUGAUUGUCGGCGACCGGCGCACGGGUGCGUAACGCGUAUGCAACCUACCCAUUACAGGGGGAUAACACUGAGAAAUCGGUACUAAUACCCCAUAACAUCCAGAGAGGCAUCUUCUUGGGUUGAAAACUCCGGUGGUAAUGGAUGGGCAUGCGUUGUAUUAGUUAGUUGGUGGGGUAACGGCUCACCAAGACAACGAUACAUAGGGGGACUGAGAGGUUAACCCCCCACAUUGGUACUGAGACACGGACCAAACUCCUACGGGAGGCAGCAGUGAGGAAUAUUGGUCAAUGGACGCAAGUCUGAACCAGCCAUGCCGCGUGCAGGAAGACGGCUCUAUGAGUUGUAAACUGCUUUUGUACGAGGGUAAACGCAGAUACGCGUAUCUGUCUGAAAGUAUCGUACGAAUAAGGAUCGGCUAACUCCGUGCCAGCAGCCGCGGUAAUACGGAGGAUUCAAGCGUUAUCCGGAUUUAUUGGGUUUAAAGGGUGCGUAGGCGGUCGGAUAAGUUAGAGGUGAAAUCCCGGGGCUCAACUUCGGAAUUGCCUCUGAUACUGUUCGGCUAGAGAGUAGUUGCGGUAGGCGGAAUGUAUGGUGUAGCGGUGAAAUGCUUAGAGAUCAUACAGAACACCGAUUGCGAAGGCAGCUUACCAAGCUACUUUUGACGUUGAGGCACGAAAGCGUGGGGAGCAAACAGGAUUAGAUACCCUGGUAGUCCACGCAGUAAACGAUGAUAACUCGUUGUCGGCGAUACAGUGUCGGUGACUAAGCGAAAGCGAUAAGUUAUCCACCUGGGGAGUACGUUCGCAAGAAUGAAACUCAAAGGAAUUGACGGGGGCCCGCACAAGCGGAGGAACAUGUGGUUUAAUUCGAUGAUACGCGAGGAACCUUACCCGGGCUUGAAAGUUAGUGACGGAUCUUGAAAGAGGUCUUCCCUUCGGGGCACGAAACUAGGUGCUGCAUGGUUGUCGUCAGCUCGUGCCGUGAGGUGUCGGGUUAAGUCCCAUAACGAGCGCAACCCCUACCGUUAGUUGCCAGCAGGUCAAGCUGGGCACUCUGACGGGACUGCCGGUGUAAGCCGAGAGGAAGGUGGGGAUGACGUCAAAUCAGCACGGCCCUUACGUCCGGGGCUACACACGUGUUACAAUGGCAGGUACAGAGGGCAGCUACCCAGCGAUGGGAUGCGAAUCUCGAAAGCCUGUCUCAGUUCGGAUUGGAGGCUGAAACCCGCCUCCAUGAAGUUGGAUUCGCUAGUAAUCGCGCAUCAGCCAUGGCGCGGUGAAUACGUUCCCGGGCCUUGCACUCACCGCCCGUCAAG